AGGUGUGAGCCACCGCGUCCUACCGGGAGGUGGUUGUUAAUUGGACUAGGUUUGGUUCAGUUCAGGAAAGCCUUCAUCACCAGGCUAAAGAAUCUGGACUCAAUACCCAAAGACAAUGGGGACCAUCGAAGAUUGUUGAACACGAGGAGUUCAUCAUCUGAGAAGCGUUUUAGCAAAAUUAAGCUGAGCAAGCAGCAGUGAGAAGGAGGAUGUUUUGAAGAGGAGGUAAACUGAAGGUGGGACAGGGAAACGAACUAGUCAUUGCAAGGACAGUUAAGAAGUUGUUGCAAGGCCAGGCACGGUGGCUCAUGCCUAUAAUCUCAGCACUUUGGGAGGCUGAAGCGGGAGGCUCACUUGCACCCAGGAGUUCAGAAUCAGCCUGGGCAACAUGGCAAAAUUCUGUCCCUACAAAAAAUACAAAAAAGGC
This 427-nucleotide long non-coding RNA is filed under the name Homo sapiens (human). Its description in RNAcentral is "non-protein coding lnc-CDH3-3:2". Lineage: Eukaryota; Metazoa; Chordata; Mammalia; Primates; Hominidae. The record is from RNAcentral.